AUUGAACGCUGGCGGCAUGCCUUACACAUGCAAGUCGAACGGCAGCGGGGACUUCGGUCCGCCGGCGAGUGGCGAACGGGUGAGUGAUGCAUCGGAACGUACCCUUCAGUGGGGGAUAACUAUCCGAAAGGAUAGCUAAUACCGCAUAUUCUCUGAGGAGGAAAGCGGGGGACCUUCGGGCCUCGCGUUGAUGGAGCGGCCGAUGUCAGAUUAGCUAGGUGGUGAGGUAAAGGCUCACCAAGGCGACGAUCUGUAGCGGGUCUGAGAGGAUGAUCCGCCACACUGGGACUGAGACACGGCCCAGACUCCUACGGGAGGCAGCAGUGGGGAAUUGUGGACAAUGGGGGCAACCCUGAUCCAGCCAUGCCGCGUGAGUGAAGAAGGCCUUCGGGUUGUAAAGCUCUUUCGGCCGGGAAGAAAUCGCACAGUCUAAUACGCUGUGUGGAUGACGGUACCGGAAUAAGAAGCACCGGCUAACUACGUGCCAGCAGCCGCAGUAA
This 500-nucleotide ribosomal RNA is filed under the name uncultured bacterium. RNAcentral describes it as "partial 16S ribosomal RNA". It matches the Rfam family "Bacterial small subunit ribosomal RNA", at positions 29 to 523 of the family's 1533-position model. The record is from RNAcentral.